Long non-coding RNA from Triplophysa dalaica, 1375 nucleotides. RefSeq lists it as uncharacterized. The transcript is spliced from 5 exons. The record is from RefSeq and is a predicted model, not a curated record. Lineage: Eukaryota; Metazoa; Chordata; Actinopteri; Cypriniformes; Nemacheilidae.
ACCAAGUAUUAAAACCAAUGGAAGCCUAUGGGCCCCCUAGUGGAUUUUGGUGGUAGGGCGGCUAAAAAACUCACAUACCCCUCCAAGAAUAAUGUGCUGUAUCAUGACCAAACUUGAUACAACACUUGGUGACCCUUUGUUCAUUAGGUCCAAAGUCUGGUAAAACUGAGGCUCAUGUGCACUCACUUGGUUUGGUAAACUUGUACAAAAAAGUCACUUUAACACAAAUACAACCCCUCCCUCUCAGGUAGAUAUAAACGAGGAGACCCCACAGGACCAGUCACCCACUUUCUGCUAGAACAUCCGACGCAGAUUUCUUUUGAUGCAGUUUUUGAAAAACCUUCUUCUUCAAUCAAGAAUGGCUUCUCAAAGCUUACAACUGGAACUACCUUGUUUGCACAUAGUGCAUGAAGACCCUGGCCUCUCUGUCUGUCCCGACCCCACAUCCACCAGCUGUGGCAGAGACUGAGGAAACUGAGCCCUCUGAGGUUGGCAGUGACCUUUCAAAUCGAGCCCGACAUGCAGUGGAAGAGUCAUGCAAAAAAAGCUGAUGGCGGAGAUGGGACUGUAUCAGAAACACUCCCUGGAUCAUCCGCUCCUGAAAGACCACCAGAAUGAACAUUUCAAACAGGAGAGAAAAGGAUUCAGAACAAGUUCAGAAGUUUCAGGCCUGUUAGCGUCAAUGAACAACAAACAUAACCCAGGAAAGUUUGGCAUUCUAAUUUUAAAACCUACUAUUGCUUGAGUGAAAGAAAAGGUGCAUCCAGUUUCUUCUAGAAAACAAUAUUUAAGAUGAAAAUCUAAUUUUGCAGGUUCAAUUAACACAUGUCCAGCCCUGAGAGGAGCUCCGUCACAGAAAGUGUCUUCGACCGCGGUGAGUUUGUUAAAACAAAAUUAAAUCAGUGUGACAAGGUGAGAUUUGUAAUAUUUAAACAAAUGUUUGAGGGUUCAGUAAAAUACACACAAACAAACUGUUUCAACAUCUAAUGUCAUGUUGCUAUUGAAGAACUGCAAACAAACCAUCACUGAAAUGAAACAACCCGCGUGUGAGUGUAAAGUCAAACAAUACCUCUCUAUAAUGUGAGGAUUUACCCCUUCAAAGCGAAGAGGAUUUGCCCCUUCAGAGCGAAGAGGAUUUGCCCCUUCAGAGCGAAGAGGAUUUGCCACUACAGAGCGAAGAGUAUUUGCCCCUUCAGAGCGAAGAGGAUUUGCCACUACAGAGCGAAGAGAAUUUGCCACUACAGAGCGAAGAGGAUUUGCCCCUUCAGAGCGAAGAGGAUUUGCCACUACAGAGCGAAGAGUAUUUGCCCCUUCAGAGCGAAGAGGAUUUGCCACUACAGAGCGAAGAGGAUUUGCCACUACAGAGCGAAGAGGA